UACGUAGGGUGCGAGCGUUAAUCGGAAUUACUGGGCGUAAAGCGUGCGCAGGCGGUUUUGUAAGCCAGAUGUGAAAUCCCCGGGCUCAACCUGGGAAUGGCAUUUGGGACUGCAAGGCUUGAGUUUGGCAGAGGAGACUGGAAUUCCUGGUGUAGCAGUGAAAUGCGUAGAUAUCAGGAGGAAUACCGAUGGCGAAGGCAGGUCUCUGGGCUAUAACUGACGCUCAUGCACGAAAGCGUGGGGAGCAAACAGG
Molecule: ribosomal RNA, 253 nt
Filed under: uncultured bacterium
Lineage: Bacteria
Description: partial 16S ribosomal RNA
Rfam family: Bacterial small subunit ribosomal RNA
Source: RNAcentral